Ictalurus punctatus (channel catfish) is the source of this 2380-nucleotide long non-coding RNA. NCBI's taxonomy places the organism in Eukaryota, Metazoa, Chordata, Actinopteri, Siluriformes, Ictaluridae. The record is from Ensembl.
AAAACACAGAAGACGCUCAAAAACCAACAAACUAAACAUUAUGUUGUGCUGAACGUAGUCAGACCCUACUGAAGAUUAUUUUAAUGAUUUUAAUGUAUACUGAAGACAAUUAUAUUGCUUAAACAUUGUGAAAAGGAGCCUGAAGAAAUGGCGAGCAGAACACAAACAGACACAUUUCACCCAGAUUUCGCUGUGUCUUCGCUUGUCUCUUUGUCUGAGGAACCCAAAUCAGCACUUCGGCUCGUUUUGCUGGGUGGUGAUUGUGCUGAUAACAGUUACGCAGCUGACGUUAUACUCAGGUCUGAUAAUAGGAAGGAAACAAGCAAUCCAAAGAAAGGCAACGUUAGAGACAGACUUGUUGAUGGAAGGCAGGUCUCUGUAUCUGUGGCUCCUUCCUACUGGAUGAACCACUUGGCCUCAUAUUGGUUUUCUCAAAUGGAGUCGAGUCCAUCAGAGACGAGGUUCAAAACUGUACAUCACUAACGUUUCCUGGCCCUCACGCCUUCCUGCUAGUGAUGCGAGCUGGACAUACUACUGGGAAAGAACAUCAUCUUUUAAAAGCGAUAACCUACAUGUUUGGAGCUGAGGCUUUAGAGUACACUAUGGUAUUAUUCGUGUAUGGACAUGAAUGGGAAAAUCCAACGGAUGCCCUAAAGAACCGCUGUGUGAAGAUGUGUGGAGCACGAUAUUACUUUUUGGAGAACAGUGAUGAGAAUGUCCAGGAGCUUUUCAGAAGUGUCGAGGGAAUGACACGGAGGAAAAAAAGCAGAUUUUUUAUUCAGCACUCAUACGAAAACCUCAUGAAGAUGUAUUUUGAACCCUGGGAAAGGGCUCGGGAGAACAAGGAAAACGAAUUAAAAAGAGAACUGGAAGAACUGAAGACAGAACAACGUCUGAGGGAGGACAUGUUAAAGACAGAACUUAAGACACUCAGAAAAACUGUGAGAGAUUUGAGGAAGAAGGUGGAAGAACCGAGACAUCGCGAGAGUUUGUUACAGAAGGAUUUGGACAGAGUUCGGUGUAGUGAGAAACCAUUAAGACAGGGGGUGUAUGAAUUACAAGGAAGUGAAGCAAAACACUUGAAUCCUGUACGGCGCAACAGCAAAGAGAUUGUACAACCACUCAUGCCAGAAAAUAAGAACAAGCCUCUAGAUGACCAUUAGAUGACCUGAAAGAAAUUUAAUUAAAUGAACUUUUUAUCCAGAAGCGGCAGAACAGAGGUUUCAAACUCCAGAUGAUUCAGGGCUCUGCACCAGACAAAAAACGACGUGAGAAUCUCCACCAACCAACCAUAAUAUGCAAUUUGACACAUAGCUUUUAACAUUAGGAAUAUUUUAGGAAUAUUGGAUAGGAAUGUUUCAGCAUUAACCUGCCAGAUCUUUAAAUCCUCCAGACGUAGUGACCGUUCAUUCAAUCACCACCACACGCAUUCUGCACAAGCUAUCAUCAGGGAAACAUUGUUGAUAAGGAUAGCUGAUGUUGUUUAUGCUGCAUUCGACUUACUUCAGAAGUUGGAAAUUAGUGCUCAGAAUAAGGUCAUUUUCAACCUCUGUGCAUUUGAGCUACAAAUUGGAAAAAAAUAACAACAUCACAUGGACAGCCUGAGCCGUAUCUCCCUGCAGUUCUUGACUGGUUUUCCACUGAAGCAAAGCAGGGUUGAGACUGGCCAGUACCUGGAUGGGAGAACUUCUGGGGAAAACUAAGGUUGCUGCUGGAAGUGGUAUUAGUGAGGAUAGCAGGGGGCACUCUCCCUGUGGUCUGUGUGGGGCCUUAUGCCCCAGUAUAGUGAUAGGGACACUAUACUGUUUUAAAAAAAAACAGCAAUGUCUUUCGGAUGAGACGUUAAACUGAGGUCCUGACUUUCUGUGGUCGUUAAAAAAACCGAGGACACUUAUAGUAAAACAGUAGGGGUAUAACCCCGGUGUCCUGGUGAAAUUCCCCUAUUGGCCCUUCUCUAUCAUGGCCUUCUAAUAAUCCCCAUCUCUGAAUUGGCUACAUCACUCCCUCCUUUCCACUAAUAACUGGUGGGUGGUGUGCGUUCUGGCGCACUAUGGUCGCCGUCGCAUCAUCUAGGUGGAUGCUACACACUAGUGGUGGUUAAGGAGACCCCCCCCCCCCCCCCCACCAAUACUAUGUAAAGCACUUUGAGUGUCUAGAAAAGCGUUAUAUAAAUGUAACUGUAACUAACUAAUGAACUAACCUUCAUGUUUAGUUUUUGUUAUCAACUAGCUAGCCAGCAAACUGUGAUGAGUGAUGUAUAUUUUCCUCCCCAAAACAAUGACCUGUAUAGUCAGUGUUAUAUUUUUUACUGCUGAUGCUGUGCGCUACCAUGUUGGUUUGAUGUCUCUUGUUAAAUUUGGAGGAACUCAGAAUUGAGAAG